This 401-nucleotide ribosomal RNA is filed under the name Pedinellales sp. RNAcentral describes it as "partial small subunit ribosomal RNA". It matches the Rfam family "Eukaryotic small subunit ribosomal RNA", at positions 582 to 975 of the family's 1831-position model. Lineage: Eukaryota; Dictyochophyceae; Pedinellales. The record is from RNAcentral.
AUUCCAGCUCCAAUAGCGUAUAUUAAUGUUGUUGCAGUUAAAAAGCUCGUAGUUGGAUUUCUGGUUGGACCGCGAUGCCGGACUCGCAAGGGUUCGUGAUUGUUGUGGUUUCCUUCCAUCCUCAGGUUUGCGCGUGCUGGCCUUAACUGGUCGGUGGGUGUGGUCCUGUCGUUUACUGUGAACAAAUUAGAGUGUUCAAAGCAAGGUGUACUUGAAUACAUUAGCAUGGAAUAAUAAGAUAGGACUUUGGUGGUUCUUUUUGAUAUUUUGUUGGUUUGCACGCCAAAGUAAUGAUUAAUAGGGAUAGUCGGGGGCAUUAGUACUUUGCUGUCAGAGGUGAAAUUCUCGGAUUUGCAAAAGACUAACUUAUGCGAAAGCAUUUGCCAAGGAUGUUUUCAUUG